GAGUUUGAUCCUGGCUCAGGAUGAACGCUAGCGGCAGGCAUAAUACAUGCAAGACGAACGGCAAGCUUUGUAGCAAUACGGAGCCUAGAGUGUCGUACGGGUGCGUAACACGUAUGCAACCUACCUUUUACAGGAGUAUAGCUCGGGGAAACCCGAAUCAACCCUCCAUAAUAUCAUUUGAUGGCAUCAUCAGAUGAUUAAAACUGCGGUGGUAAAAGAUGGGCAUGCGUUUGAUUAGUUAGUUGGCAGUGUAACGGACUACCAAGACGAUGAUCAAUAGGGGACCUGAGAGGGUGAUCCCCCACACUGGCACUGAGAUACGGGCCAGACUCCUACGGGAGGCAGCAGUAGGGAAUAUUGGACAAUGGGUGAGAGCCUGAUCCAGCCAUGCCGCGUGCAGGAAGAAGGCGUUAUGCGUUGUAAACUGCUUUAGCCAGGGGAUAAAACGGCUCUGCGGAGCUAAUUGAAGGUACCUGGAUAAUAAGCCACGGCUAACUACGUGCCAGCAGCCGCGGUAAUACGUAGGUGGCAAGCGUUGUCCGGAUUUAUUGGGUUUAAAGGGUGCGUAGGCGGCCCUGUAAGUCAGUGCUGAAAUAUCCCGGCUUAACCGGGAGGGUGGCAUUGAUACUGCAGGGCUUGAGUACAGAUGAAGUAGGCGGAAUUGACGGUGUAGCGGUGAAAUGCAUAGAUAUCGUCAAGAACACCGAUAGCGAAGGCAGCUUACUAAGCUGUAACUGACGCUGAGGCACGAAAGUGUGGGGAUCAAACAGGAUUAGAUACCCUGGUAGUCCACACUGUAAACGUUGAUGACUCGAUGUUGGCGAUACACAGCCAGCGUCCAAGAGCAAUCGUUAAAGUCAUCCACCUGGGGAGUACGCCGGCAACGGUGAAACUCCAAAGGAAUUGACGGGGGUCCCCCAA
Molecule: ribosomal RNA, 921 nt
Filed under: uncultured bacterium
Lineage: Bacteria
Description: bacterial SSU rRNA
Rfam family: Bacterial small subunit ribosomal RNA
Source: RNAcentral